This is a long non-coding RNA of Panicum virgatum (switchgrass), 853 nucleotides long. RefSeq lists it as uncharacterized. The transcript has 2 exons. NCBI's taxonomy places the organism in Eukaryota, Viridiplantae, Streptophyta, Magnoliopsida, Poales, Poaceae. The record is from RefSeq and is a predicted model, not a curated record.
GGCUGACACCUGUCAGAUUUAUGCUUAUUUUGCGUUUGUUUGACGCGGUGCAAGGAAACAUGCCGACGUAGGCCAGGGAUCAGCGUCUGCUUCACGCGGUGGAAAACGGACGCCGGCUGGGGUGUCGUCCUUCACUCCCAAAAAAUUCAAAAAAAUAUUGAGCACUGCUGUGCUUGCAUCGCCGCCGCCACUCCCUUGAGCGCUUCUCUCGGCGGCCACUGUACCGCCAUGCAGUCUUUGCCGGACCGGUGCGCCGACCAGCGCAUGGCCACAGCGGCUGUGAUGGCCUCCAAGGCGGCGCAUUCGUGCAACCAGUGUUGAGCCACACGGACUCCGCGCGUCCACGAGUUGUCGCCCAGCCCAGCUGCACCUCGAUCUUGCUCACCGGUGCAGCCGUGGCCCGUGGGGGAGGCCCUCCUGCCGGCGCGGCAUCGCCUACUCCGUUUUGACCCCGCCAUGCCUCGACAUGGUGAUGCUCACGACGCCAAAUGACAUCCGUGAGGUCCACCAUCAAGGUCAUGGAGGCAUCCUGCUGCUGGCAAGCAUCAGGAGAUUGCCGUUGCCCUGCUUUCUGCUCUGCGCUUGCCGCCUGUCAAUCUAGCCACGCUUGCCACUUCAAAGGUUAAUGGAGCCUACUAUGCUUUGGGAGACUGGUAAGAGGAAUGUGCUACUAUUACAAGAAGGCAAAUCUGUUCUUUCACAUGAAGGCACACCAUGUACAGAUGAGAGAUAUAGGAUCAUUUAGAAUAUGUUUCAAUGUAUCGAAAAUACAUAUCCAAGUUCGAAAUGUACUGAUGUUACCUCAUAGAUUUUUAUAUUAAUUUGGCUCAACAUCUAUGCUAGGUUCUAUGAA